This is a long non-coding RNA of Cyprinus carpio carpio, 1089 nucleotides long. The record is from Ensembl. NCBI's taxonomy places the organism in Eukaryota, Metazoa, Chordata, Actinopteri, Cypriniformes, Cyprinidae.
AUGCUACAUUUCUCCAAACCUGAUGAAAACAACAAACUCACCUAUAUCUUCAGCGGCUUGAGGGUGGUGAGGGUGCUACAUUUUGGAAGCUUCAGCGAGGAUGAAAGCAGUGCGUGUUGGCUUCCAGUGAUGACAACACACUUCCAGUGCCAUUCAGCCUACUACAGCCCAGAUGACCAGUGGAGUGAACUACAGCCCAGGUGACCAGUGAAGUGAAGGCGUUCGUGUCCGUGUCAAGCUAGGAAGGAAAGUGCAAGCAAUCUGAGGUUGAUCUUCGAUACCAGGAGCGCUGCAGGUUACCAGCCAGCUAAGGACAUUUCUUCUAUCACUUUGCACACAUCAAGAGACUGAGCAACACAUGGAUCAUGUGGAGGAUUUGAAGCUUGAGGUGAUAGGAGCAGUAUAUGCUCUCCCACAAGAAUAUUUGACUGAACUAUGUGAAUUCCUAGGGGAUUGAGUGUGAACAUGCCAGUAGCAAAAGCGGGUCAUUUCUUGUUUCUGUAAUUGUGAGACAUGUCGAGCGAAAGGCAUUAGUGGAAUUGGAAGAUGCGGGCAUGUCUGUUUGUCAUGUCAGCAAAGAGUUAUGCAAUGGUGUCCCCCACAAGCUGCACACAGUGUGGUAUGACAGGUUCCGGCUUUAGAUUACGACACUGCGCCGCCUGUUAACAAACAUUAUAUUGUUCAAAAGCCUGUCAAGCUAAUCACUGACAGUCCAUAAGAAACAAUUUAACCAGACAGCAAGAGUAAACACAAAUUCAGCAAAGCACAGAAAUAAAUGGGAGCCGAGCAGUCUACACACGCCGCCUUUGUAGGAAAACAGUGUCUAGUGCCGUGUUACAUUCAUGGGCUCCUUGUUGAUGCGGGGGAAGUCGUGGCCUAAUGGUUAGAGAGUUUGACUCCUAACCCUAAGGUUGUGGGUUGAGUCUCAGGCCGGCAAUACCACGACUGAGGUGCCCUUGAGGAAGGCACCGAACCCCCAACUGCUCCCCGGGCGCCGCAGCAUAAAUGAUACCCACUGCUCCGGGUGUGUGUUCACGGUGUGUGUGUGUUCACUGCUGUGUGUGUGUGUGCACUUUGGAUGGGUUAAAU